CCGGCGAUGUCCGAAUGGGGAAACCCAGUGCAAUUCGUUGCACUAUCGUUAACUGAAUACAUAGGUUAACGAGGCGAACCGGGGGAACUGAAACAUCUAAGUACCCCGAGGAAAAGAAAUCAACCGAGAUUCCCCCAGUAGCGGCGAGCGAACGGGGAGCAGCCCAGAGUCUGAAUCAGCUUGUGUGUUAGUGGAACGGUCUGGAAAGUCCGACGGUACAGGGUGAUAGUCCCGUACACCAAAAUGCACAGGCUGUGAACUCGAAGAGUAGGGCGGGACACGUGGUAUCCUGUCUGAAUAUGGGGGGACCAUCCUCCAAGGCUAAAUACUCCUGACUGACCGAUAGUGAACCAGUACCGUGAGGGAAAGGCGAAAAGAACCCCGGCGAGGGGAGUGAAAAAGAACCUGAAACCGUGUACGUACAAGCAGUGGGAGCACCUUCGGGUGUGACUGCGUACCUUUUGUAUAAUGGGUCAGCGACUUAUAUUCUGUAGCAAGGUUAACCGUAUAGGGGAGCCGCAGGGAAACCGAGUCUUAACUGGGCGUUAAGUUGCAGGGUAUAGACCCGAAACCCGGUGAUCUAGCCAUGGGCAGGUUGAAGGUUGGGUAACACUAACUGGAGGACCGAACCGACUAAUGUUGAAAAAUUAGCGGAUGACUUGUGGCUGGGGGUGAAAGGCCAAUCAAACCGGGAGAUAGCUGGUUCUCCCCGAAAGCUAUUUAGGUAGCGCCUCGUGAACUCAUCUUCGGGGGUAGAGCACUGUUUCGGCUAGGGGGUCAUCCCGACUUACCAACCCGAUGCAAACUACGAAUACCGAAGAAUGUUAUCACGGGAGACACACGGCGGGUGCUAACGUCCGUCGUGAAGAGGGAAACAACCCAGACCGCCAGCUAAGGUCCCAAAGUCAUGGUUAAGUGGGAAACGAUGUGGGAAGGCACAGACAGCCAGGAUGUUGGCUUAGAAGCAGCCAUCAUUUAAAGAAAGCGUAAUAGCUCACUGGUCGAGUCGGCCUGCGCGGAAGAUGUAACGGGGCUAAACCAUGCACCGAAGCUGCGGCAGCGACACUAUGUGUUGUUGGGUAGGGGAGCGUUCUGUAAGCCUGCGAAGGUGUGCUGUGAGGCAUGCUGGAGGUAUCAGAAGUGCGAAUGCUGACAUAAGUAACGAUAAAGCGGGUGAAAAGCCCGCUCGCCGGAAGACCAAGGGUUCCUGUCCAACGUUAAUCGGGGCAGGGUGAGUCGACCCCUAAGGCGAGGCCGAAAGGCGUAGUCGAUGGGAAACAGGUUAAUAUUCCUGUACUUGGUGUUACUGCGAAGGGGGGACGGAGAAGGCUAUGUUAGCCGGGCGACGGUUGUCCCGGUUUAAGCAUGUAGGCUGGUUGUCCAGGCAAAUCCGGAUAAUCAAGGCUGAGGUGUGAUGACGAGGCACUACGGUGCUGAAGUAACAAAUGCCCUGCUUCCAGGAAAAGCCUCUAAGCAUCAGGUAACAUCAAAUCGUACCCCAAACCGACACAGGUGGUCAGGUAGAGAAUACCAAGGCGCUUGAGAGAACUCGGGUGAAGGAACUAGGCAAAAUGGUGCCGUAACUUCGGGAGAAGGCACGCUGGUGUGUAGGUGAAGUCCCUGCGGAUGGAGCUGAGACCAGUCGAAGAUACCAGCUGGCUGCAACUGUUUAUUAAAAACACAGCACUGUGCAAACACGAAAGUGGACGUAUACGGUGUGACGCCUGCCCGGUGCCGGAAGGUUAAUUGAUGGGGUUAUCCGUAAGGAGAAGCUCUUGAUCGAAGCCCCGGUAAACGGCGGCCGUAACUAUAACGGUCCUAAGGUAGCGAAAUUCCUUGUCGGGUAAGUUCCGACCUGCACGAAUGGCGUAAUGAUGGCCAGGCUGUCUCCACCCGAGACUCAGUGAAAUUGAACUCGCUGUGAAGAUGCAGUGUACCCGCGGCAAGACGGAAAGACCCCGUGAACCUUUACUAUAGCUUGACACUGAACAUUGAGCCUUGAUGUGUAGGAUAGGUGGGAGGCUUUGAAGCGUGGACGCCAGUCUGCGUGGAGCCAACCUUGAAAUACCACCCUUUAAUGUUUGAUGUUCUAACGUUGGCCCCUUACCGGGGUUGCGGACAGUGUCUGGUGGGUAGUUUGACUGGGGCGGUCUCCUCCCAAAGCGUAACGGAGGAGCACGAAGGUUAGCUAAUCCUGGUCGGACAUCAGGAGGUUAGUGCAAUGGCAUAAGCUAGCUUGACUGCGAGCGUGACGGCGCGAGCAGGUGCGAAAGCAGGUCAUAGUGAUCCGGUGGUUCUGAAUGGAAGGGCCAUCGCUCAACGGAUAAAAGGUACUCCGGGGAUAACAGGCUGAUACCGCCCAAGAGUUCAUAUCGACGGCGGUGUUUGGCACCUCGAUGUCGGCUCAUCACAUCCUGGGGCUGAAGUAGGUCCCAAGGGUAUGGCUGUUCGCCAUUUAAAGUGGUACGCGAGCUGGGUUUAGAACGUCGUGAGACAGUUCGGUCCCUAUCUGCCGUGGGCGCUGGAGAAUUGAGGGGGGCUGCUCCUAGUACGAGAGGACCGGAGUGGACGCAUCACUGGUGUUCGGGUUGUCAUGCCAAUGGCACUGCCCGGUAGCUAAAUGCGGAAGAGAUAAGUGCUGAAAGCAUCUAAGCACGAAACUUGCCCCGAGAUGAGUUCUCCCUGAGACUUUAAGUCUCCUGAAGGAACGUU
Molecule: ribosomal RNA, 2712 nt
Filed under: Klebsiella pneumoniae
Lineage: Bacteria; Pseudomonadati; Pseudomonadota; Gammaproteobacteria; Enterobacterales; Enterobacteriaceae
Description: partial 23S ribosomal RNA
Rfam family: Bacterial large subunit ribosomal RNA
Source: RNAcentral